This 253-nucleotide ribosomal RNA is filed under the name uncultured bacterium. RNAcentral's name for it is "partial 16S ribosomal RNA". It matches the Rfam family "Bacterial small subunit ribosomal RNA", at positions 524 to 776 of the family's 1533-position model. The record is from RNAcentral.
UACGAAGGUCCCGAGCGUUGUUCGGAAUCACUGGGCGUAAAGGGAGCGUAGGCGGCGUGGUAAGUCAGAUGUGAAAUCCCGGGGCUCAACCCCGGAACUGCAUCCGAUACUGCCGUGCUUGAGUGAUGGAGAGGUAGCUGGAAUUCAAGGUGUAGCAGUGAAAUGCGUGGAUAUCGUGAGGAACACUCGUGGCGAAAGCGAGCUACUGGACAUUGACUGACGCUGAGGCUAGAAGGCCAGGGGAGCGAAAGGG